RNAcentral lists this ribosomal RNA (2689 nucleotides) under Proteromonas lacertae. RNAcentral describes it as "LSU rRNA". It matches the Rfam family "Bacterial large subunit ribosomal RNA". Lineage: Eukaryota; Bigyra; Opalinata; Proteromonadidae. The record is from RNAcentral.
AUAAACUAAUUUAAGAGCAUUAGACGGAUACCUUGGUAUUUAAUUUUAAGACGUUUUUAUUACGAAAAAUUAUAGGUAGUUUUUAACAAUGAUCUAUAAAAUUCUUUUGAGGAAACUUAAGUAAUAAAUUCUUUAUUAUAUAUUUAGUGAAUUGAAACAUCUUAGUAGCUAAAAGAAAAGAAAUCAAAAGAGAUUCCGUUAGUAGUGGCGAGCGAAUGCGGAUUAGGUUUAUUUUAAAUAAUAUGUAUUUGAAUUCCUAAGAAGGUUUAGUCCUGUAGAAUAUUAUUAUUUAAAAUUUUAGUAAAACAGUAUAUGUUUGUUCUGUUUGAAUAUAGGGGAACCAUCCUCUAAACCUAAAUAUAAUUAAAUAACCGAAAGCGUACAUAGUAUCGUGAGAGAAAGGUGAAAAAGAAUUCGUGAAAUUGAAAAGAUAUUGAAAUCUAAUGUUUACAAUCAAUUGAAGCUUUGUAAUAAGCAACAAUAUACCUUUUGCAUAAUGGGUCAACUACUUUAUUUAUAUAGCAAGCUUAAAUCUUUAGAUGUAGGCGUAGUUAAUGCAUAUAAUAAUAUUUUCACAGUUAUAUAAAUAAUACCCGAAAUCAAGUGAUCUAACCAUGAACAGGUUGAAAACAGGGUAACACUUGUUGAAGGACCGAACUCGUGUAUGUUGCAAUAUACUGGGAUGAUUUGUGGUUAGGAGUGAAAGGCUAAUCAAACUUGAAGAUAGCUGGUUUUCUGCGAAAUCUAUAGAAGUAGAGUGCUGAAUGUUUUUUAUGUAGGGUAGAGAACUUUUUAAAUGAGGGGAACACUUUGUUUUACCGAGUUUAGGAAAACUUCGAAUAUGCAUAUUUUAAAGUUUAGUAAACAGACUGUGGGUGCUAAGGUCCAUGGUCAAGAGGGAAACAGCCCAGACUGUAUGCUAAGGUCUUGAAGUUUUUUUUUAUCGAAUAAGGAUAUUUAAUUACGAUUAUAACCAAAAGGUAGGCCCGGAAGCAGCCAUUCUUUAACGAAAGCGUAAUAGCUCAUUGGUUUAGUAAUUUAAGUCCUAAGAUUUAUAUAGACUUAAAAAAAACACCGAAGCAGCAGAAUUUAAUUUUUUAAUUAAAUUGGUAGCAGAACGUUUUGUAUAUUUUAAGAUAAAUUGUAAAAUUUAUUAAAUUAAUAUCAAAAGUGAUAAUGUUGACAUGAGUAACGAUAAACAGAGAUUUAAAUCUUUGUCGCCGUAAAUUUAAGGUUUUCAGUGUUAAAAUUUAUUGCAUUGAGUUAGUCGGUCUCUAAGAAUAAAUUGCGAAAGCUUUUUUUGAUGAGUAUUUGUAUUUAUAUGGACAUUUUAUUUUUUAUUUAUUAAAUUAAUGGUUUUUUAAUAAAUUGAUAAUAAAAUCUAGAAAAAAAAAUACAGUAUAAACCGUACUAUAAACCGACACAGGUAAAUAGGUUGAAUAAACUAAGGCGUAAAGAGAACUAUGGUGAAGGAACUCGGCAAAUUGACUUUGUAACUUUGGAAGAAAAAGUUCCUAUUAAACUAGGAGUUAUAUAAAAGGGGGUUGCGACUGUUUAUUAAAAACACAGGAUUCUGCUAAAUCGUAAGAUGAAGUAUAGGAUCUGACACCUGCCCGGUGCUAGUAUGAUAAAAUAUUAAGGUUUAUUGCUUUGAUAUUUAAUGUCUAGUAAACGGCAGCCGUAACACUGACGGUUCUAAGGUAGCGAAAUUCCUUGUCAGCUAAUUACUGACCUGCAUGAAUGGUGUAACGACUUCCCCACUGUCUCCACCAUAGACUUUGUGAAAUUGAUAUAUCGGUGAAAACGCCGAUUUCUUGUGAUAGGACGCGAAGACCCUAUGCACCUUUACUACACCUUUAUAUUGCUUUUGAUAUUAUCAUGCAUAGAAUAGGCGGGAGCCAUUAUAACACCUUAAUUCCGGUUAAUUGUGGAGGCUUCUUUGUAAUACCGCCCUUGAUAUUUAUCUGAGCUAAUUUUUGUUUUAAAAUAUUUUGACAUUGUAAAGUUGGUAGUUUGAUUGGGGAGGUUUUCUCCUAAAAUGUAACGGAGAAGUACUAAGGUAAGUUCGGGUUGAUAAUUUUAUCAACUUUAGAGUGUAAUGGCAUAAACUUGCUUGACUGUAAGACUUACUAGUCGAACAGAAACGAAAGUUGGUCAUAGUGAUCCGGUGGUUCUGUAUGGAAAGGCCAUCGCUUAACGGAUAAAAGGUACGCUAGGGAUAACAGGCUGAUAAUUCUUGAGAGUUCUUAUCGAUGGAAUUGUUUGGCACCUCGAUGUCGGCUCAUCACAUCCUAGUGCUGCAGUAGGUUCUAAGGGUUUGGCUGUUCGCCAAUUAAAGUGGUACGCGAGCUGGGUUUAAAACGUCGUGAGACAGUUUGGUUUCUAUCUAUCAUGAGGGUUAUAAUAUUGAAAGGAGAAUACUUUAGUACGUAAGGAUUAAGUAUGGUUGACCUCUGGUUUAUCAAUUAUUCUACCAAGAGUAUCGUUGAGUAGCUACGUCAAUUUGGAAUAAUUGCUGUAAAAUUAAAUAAGCAAGAAAUCCUCCUUAAUAUUUAUAUUAUUUUUAUAAAUUUAUUUAUAAUUACAAAUUGUAGAAGACUACUACUUUAAUAGGCUUUGUGUGUAAGUUUGGUAACAAAUUUAGCUAAAAAGUACUAAUAUUUUUGUUGGGUUUAUUUUUUAUUACUAU